Molecule: unclassified non-coding RNA, 220 nt
Filed under: plant metagenome
Description: partial contains small subunit ribosomal RNA, internal transcribed spacer 1, and 5.8S ribosomal RNA
Source: RNAcentral
UUUCCGUAGGUGAACCUGCGGAUGGAUCAUUACAGAGUUCAUGCCCUCACGGGUAGAUCUCCCACCCUUGAAUAUUUAUACCUUAGUUGCUUUGGCAGGCCGUGGAAACUCCAUGGGCUCCGGCUUAUGCGUGCCUGCCAGAGGAAACAAACUCUGUUUUUAGUGAUGUCUGAGUACUAUAUAAUAGUUAAAACUUUCAACAACGGAUCUCUUGGUUCUG